CCAAGGUUACCAGAGUAAUAUAGAAAUAAAGUUAUUAAUAUAUAAACAUACUAAUAUAUAAACAAAACUAUUGAGAACUACUUAAAAACGAGUACUAUUAUAAAAGAAAAUAUUAAUUUUAUAUAAACAUAUAUUUUACUUGGUUAUUAAUGUGACCAAUAGAGAGUAGCUUUUAAUACAACGUGAGCCAAUGAGAGCGCAGAAUGUGGCGCAGCGGAGAAAUUAGUUUCCGGAUUUUGCACGAGGUUUGCUCGUGGAGUCAGAGGCAGCUCUCUCUAUCGUGCAUAGGUGCUGAUGAGCGCGGUGUUUGCUGACGCUCCGGGGAACAGAAACAUAGAAAUAAUCUUCUGGAUGUGUUUUAUCGAUGGAUUGAUGUUAAAGAAAAGGGUUUAAAUCGGACGCGUUGUAACCGCUCCAUUCUGGAAUUUUCUGUGAGUUUAAAGAUCUCCUUGGUCAGGUUUUUUGUUUUUGUUUGGUUUUGUUCUGUUUUUCUUGUUCUGCCCUUGUCCAAAUUGGAUUGCUGUCCUGUCCGAUGUGACGAGAUGUACCGAUGCCUGUAUUCUGGAUUUGUCCCGGCCUUCCAGUGGUUUUG
Molecule: long non-coding RNA, 592 nt
Organism: Megalobrama amblycephala (Wuchang bream)
Lineage: Eukaryota; Metazoa; Chordata; Actinopteri; Cypriniformes; Xenocyprididae
Exons: 3
Source: RefSeq, a predicted model, not a curated record